Molecule: ribosomal RNA, 463 nt
Filed under: uncultured bacterium
Lineage: Bacteria
Description: bacterial SSU rRNA
Rfam family: Bacterial small subunit ribosomal RNA
Source: RNAcentral
CCAGACUCCUACGGGAGGCAGCAGUGAGGAAUAUUGGUCAAUGGGCUUACGCCUGAACCAGCCAAGUCGCGUGAGGGAAGACUGCCCUAUGGAUUGUAAACCUCUUUUGUCGGGGAGCAAAAGACGCCACGUGUGGCGUUCCGAGAGUACCCGAAGAAAAAGCAUCGGCUAACUCCGUGCCAGCAGCCGCGGUAAUACGGAGGAUGCGAGCGUUAUCCGGAUUUAUUGGGUUUAAAGGGUGCGUAGGCGGACGCUUAAGUCAGCGGUAAAAUUGCGGGGCUCACCCUCGUCGAGCCGUUGAAACUGGGUGCCUUGAGUGGGCGAGAAGUACGCGGAAUGCGUGGUGUAGCGGUGAAAUGCAUAGAUAUCACGCAGAACUCCGAUUGCGAAGGCAGCGUACCGGCGCCCAACUGACGCUGAAGCACGAAGGCGUGGGUAUCGAACAGGAUUAGAUACCCCUGUA